Molecule: long non-coding RNA, 5357 nt
Filed under: Trifolium pratense (red clover)
Lineage: Eukaryota; Viridiplantae; Streptophyta; Magnoliopsida; Fabales; Fabaceae
Description: long non-coding RNA (TPRA_LNC001958)
Source: RNAcentral
AUCAACGUCUGAUCUUUGCCGGUAAGCAACUAGAAGACACACGGACUGUCGCCAAUUACAACAUUCAAGACAAGUCAACCAUCGACCUUGUAAUCCGCCUCACUGGGGACUAGAUGACCAUUGCACCAUUUUGCCAAAUACUACAUCCAAGAGUAAGAAACUGUCCACCUCAUCGUCUGCCGCCGUUGGGGACCCUUAUUAUGAAGACAAUUACCCUAUAAAUAGAGAAAUUGUACAUUAUUGAUAGCAGUCUUUGACUUUUGUGUUUUUUUUUAUUAAGGAUUUGACUUUUGUUUUUAAGAAUGCAUUCUCCUUAGUCUCCUAUCUUCUAUCUAUUAGAAUUAUUUACUGCACAAGUCUUUUUUGAAUAUUAUUAAAGGACCAGCAAUCUCCUUAUAAUUUAAAAUGAAUACACAUUUAAAAAAACAAAAACAAAAUGUCCAAAUCUGCCGGUCAUGUUGGAUUUGGCUUUGCUGGUUUGUUUGUUGGGUUCAGUUCUGGUUCAACCCUCACCGCCUCCCUCGCGGCGGUGGUCAGUUGUUCGUUGGUUCUACCUUUUACAUUGAAUCAAUUCUGGUUUGGUUAUACUUUGUUCGAUCUAACCCAUCUCAGCUCAAUUUCGAUUGGUGUGUGUGUUAGUUGUACUUGUCCUUUAAUCCGUCGCAGUUGCCGGUUCAGUUCUAUUUACAAUUUUCGUUUGCGGUUCUGACACCGUGCUGUCAGUUCGUGGUACUAUUUCCGUGUUGGCGGUUGGCUCGCUCUCAAAAUCUGAAUUUGGCGCUCGUCAGUUCACGCACCAUAUUUUUUUUGUUUUGUUUGCAAUUUGGUUUCGCGCCCGUACGCGGGCUCAUUGGAUUGUGAACGUGAUGCGUGGUUGUUUGUCUUCGAGUUUGGAUUUUCUUUUUUGGUUUUGACUUCUUUAGCCAUUUGGGGUUGUAUUGUAUUAUCCGUUAGGUUGUUUUUUGCUUUUACCAGGUUAAGUUUAUGCUCCUCAGUCUUUUGUAAUCUCCCCUUUUGCUUAAAAAAAAGGACAGCAAAAAAAUAAAUAAAUUGAUACAUAGAAAUAACACAACACUAUCUUUGAUUGUAUACAUCUGAUCCGAUACAUGAAAACUCAUUAGCUUCCUCACAGGUCAACCAUGUUGGGUUUAACAACUUCUGUGACAAAAUCCCUACAAUAAUAACGAGCCUUAUGCCACUAGGUGGCGUGAGCAGCAUGUCGGUUGACAACAUCCCUGCGGCAAAAUAAAAUCCAUGUCCUGUUAAAUACCUUGUUCACAGUUACGGCUCCAUCAGGAACUUUCAGCUUUACACCAGAUUUCGCUAUGAUACUCGACUUUUCCCUGUUAAGGCACCAGAAAAACAACACAUAAUGUGUCACGUUUAUUAAAUGAUGUGACAACACAUCAUUGUAUGCAUGUGUAAAUGAUCUACACUUAGAAGAAGGUUCUCAAAAUGUUUUCUACAUUUACUUUGACUAUUUUUUGCUAAGUCAGUUACUCAUUUUAAAAAUCAAUUUCAAAAAUGUAUACAAUUCAAACUCCCUAUUUCUUAUUUAGAGUAAUUAGUCAAUUUAGUCGCUAAAUUAUCAUUCUCUCACCAACUCAGUCCCUAAACUAUUAAAACCAACUAAAAGGUCCCUAAACUAUUUUUCAUCCAUCAAUUAGGUCCCUAAACUAUUUUUCAUCCAUCAAUUUAGUCCUCCGUUAUCUUUUUCGUUAACUAUUCUUUAAAACCCUAAAAUUCAAAAGCUACCUUUACGCUUAUCUCUCUCUUCUCGAUCAACUCUCUCAACUCCAUUAAUUUAGUCCUCCGUCACCAACUCUUUUUUCUUCAACCCCCUUCAAUUGCAUCUUCUUAUCUCUCUCUUCUCGAUCAACUCUCUCAAAUCAUCUCAAUCUGAAAACCCUAGCGCCACCUAUAUGCUCCAAUUGAUGGAUUAUGGUUUAGUUGAUUUAUGUAAUGAAGAUUAUGGUUUAUGGUUUAAAUUAUGGUUAAGUUUGUUUUUUGGUUUAUGUUGAUUUAGCAGUAAUGUUUCAUUUGGUUUAAAUUUGAUUUAGCAGUAAUGUUUCAUUUGGUUUAAAUUUGAUUUAGCAGUAAUGAAUUUGUGUUGUUAGUAAGUAGUGAACGAGACAAAUGAUGAUUUAGUAGUAAUGAAUUAUGUUAAAAAUGAAUUUGAUUUAAUAGUAUGGUUUAGGGACUAUUUGUUUUAGCAGUAAUUUGAUUUAGUAGUAUGAUUUAGCAGUAAUGAUUUAACAGUGUUGUUACUAUUUUGUUGUUUUUUAAGAUAGUUUAGGGACUAAAUUGAAGUAUUUUUAUAGUUUAGGGACUACUAACGGUCACUUAACGGAAAAGUUAACCGAGGGACUAAAUUGAAGGAUGUGAAUAUAGUUUAGGGACCUUUUAGUUGUUUUUAAUAGUUUAGGGACUAAGUUGGUGAGAGAAUGAUAGUUUAGGGACUAAAUUGACUGAUUACUCUCUUAUUUAUGUAAGGCUUUUUCUACUUCAGUAAACUAUAUUGAUUGUUAAAUUUGAAAUAUAGAAACAAUUAUUGUUUCUUUUUUAUUUUACAAAAUAAAAUGCAAGUAACAGAAACCUAUUUGACCCUGAAAAAAUAGGCUUACAUGACCUAAGUCCUAUUCCCACUCCAAUUCCUUGGACCGGAUCCAUAUAGUCAAUUUUUCGAUGUAGUCGUACAGUCGCGCCAUUUAUAGUCGUCUGAUCAAGAUCGAACAAUCAUAAUUUAAAAACUUAUUUAUUGACUGUAUUUAUUUAAAACGACUGCACCGAAAAGUCGACUACACCUUAUCCAUUUCCCAAUUCCUUGCUUCAAAAGGUAAAGUGGGAGAAAAAAGGUAUUUAAACCAAAGGGAAAGUUUUGUAGAGCCGAGAAUAGAAAACUAAUUAGAGUCUGUCUUCUUAACCUAACAUUCAGUCAUUCAAGACUCUUCUCCGCGACAACGAUGAUGAUAUCCCUGUAUGAUGGGAAAGAAGAUGCUUAUUGGUGGGUUCUUUGCACCGAAAAAAUAUUCAAGGAGCAAGGGACACCAGAGGCUAUGAAAUUGUGGAAAGCUGUUACGGCAUUGAGAGGUCCUGCUCUACAAUGGUGGCUCUGGCGGUCUCUUCGUCAGCCGCCGACAACUUGGAAUGACUUCACCACGGUUUUUAUUUGGCGUUUUAAACCUGAAUGGAGAGAUAUUUUGCCGGUAGAUGACAACGAGGAGGAGGAGCCAAAAUUGGACUUGUCUAUGUUGUCGCUGUCCAAUGGUAGUAACAACAACAAUAGCUCCGUUUCUGUGCUUAUUUCGGACCCACAAGUGUUCGAUUGCUACAAUUGUUCUCAAACCUUAACUGUUCCACUCUUUCAGGUAUAUUCUUUUUAUUUCAUCAAUUAUUUUCUAUCUUUAAUUUCUAUGUUUCUGGUGAUUAAAUGUGAUACUCUUUUACAUAUAUUAUGAAGCUUUGUAGUGAUUAAAUGUUUUUUAGAGUUUGGAGGGUAGGGUUUUGGGGGAAGGAGAGGAGAAUAGAGAAAAAGAAUACUUAAGAUUUUUAAUUGUGCAAGUAUUAUAACAUGCUUGGAUGAGUUAUUUUAAUUAAUGGAGGCUAAUACUUUCUUUACAUUGGUUUUCAAUAUUAGUAACAAUGAAACCCACUUCGGUUGGUCUGGUGGUAUUAGCUUCGGACCUGGGAGUGUGCUCCCCCUUAAGGUUUCAAGUUCAAUUAUCUCUAGUGUCAAUUUGGAUGGGCUAAUUUAGCUUCUUCAAAAAAAUAUUACUAACAAUGAAUAUAGUUUAUUAAUUAUGUUGUCAAUUUUGUAUAUCUUUUUAUUUUUGAGCUUUUAUAUAUGUAUGGUAUGAAUUUCUUGUAUUGUUUCCCUAAACUUUGAUAUAGCGGCCAUUGAGUACAUAGAUUUUGAGAAGAAAAAAAUGAAAAUGAUUAGCUUAAUGUUGGUUAUACUUUUGAUUGGAUAACAUGCUAACAAGUCUUGCAAAGAAAUUUCUUGUUUUUAUCUUGGUUCAAACUCUAACUUGAUGAUUUUCUUUUUAUGUUUCAAUUUAGUGUGAUAAUAGUCAUAUUGUUUGCUCUACCUGCUGUCCUAAACUUAUGAACAAGUGUGGCAAGUGCUCAUUGGGCAUUAGCUCAAAACGUUGUAAAGCCAUUGAGAAUAUAUUGCAAUCAAUGGGAAUGCCAUGUCCCAAUGAAAUACAUGGUUGCAAGGAGAGUAUAAGUUACCUUGGAAAUAGGAAGCAUGAGGAAUGCAUUCAUGAGCCAUGUUGCUGCCCUGUUUUAGGUUGUAACUUUGUUGCAUCUUCGGAAGUGUUGUCCAACCAUUUCAGCCAUAAACACGAUGGUUCCCAAAUAGAAUUUUCUUAUGGUCACUCCUUCAUUGUCUCUUUAAAGUCUAAUGAUGAAACCAUUGUUCUUCAAGAGGAAAAUGAUGGCAAACUAUUUAUUCUCAAUAAUAGUACUAUGCUUUUGGGAAAUGCAGUCAAUAUUUGCCACAUUGGUCCUAAUUCUUCUGAAUCCGAGUAUAGUUAUGAUAUAUUGGCGAGGUCUCAGACAUGCAAACUGAAAUUACAUUCUUCUGCAAAGAAUGUUCAACGUGUUACUUUAGCAACUCUUUCAUCGGAGUUCCUUGUCAUUCCGUCUGGUUCUUGUGAACCUCUCAAGCUAGAAAUUUGCAUAACCCCCUUGGUACCUCCUAUCUCCUUUUCUCUGCUUGUGUGUUUGUGUGUGUUUUCCUUUUCAAUUUAAGUCUUAUUAUUUUCUUUUAUGUUUUGAAUUUAUUCUCUAGCAUUUUAUCUCAAAUUUAUCGGUUUUCCAAAUGCCAAAACAAAGGUUGUUAACUUUUUCUAUUUUAUGAUCAGUUCUUGAAAUAUCAGUCUCAAACUUUAUUUAAUCUAUUUGUUGACAAUUGUGGGGCAGAUGCAAAUCUACGUAAAGACCCUGACUGGAACAAUAAUCUCCAUGAGGGUUAAGACUUCAGACACGAUAGUCGAUGUGAAGAAGAAGAUUCUUGACAAGGGGGGCUAUGAAGUGCACGAUCAACGUCUGAUCUUUGCCGGUAAGCAACUAGAAGACACACGGACCGUCGCCAAUUACAACAUCCAAGACAAGUCAACCAUCGACCUUGUAAUCCGCCACACUGGGGACUAGAUGACCAUUGCACCAUUUUGCCAAAUACUACAUCCAAGAGUAAGAAACUGUCCACCUCAUCGUCUGCCGCCGUUGGGGACCCUUAUUAUGAAGACAAUUACCCUAUCAAUAGAGAAAUUGUACAUUAUUGAUAACAGUCUUUGACUUUUGUGUUUUUUUAUUAAGGAGUUGACUUUUGUUUUUAAGAAUGCAUUCUCCUU